Molecule: long non-coding RNA, 971 nt
Filed under: Homo sapiens (human)
Lineage: Eukaryota; Metazoa; Chordata; Mammalia; Primates; Hominidae
Description: HSALNT0107977
Source: RNAcentral
UCAGCAAUUAAUUCACACAUGUGAUUCCAAAGCUGACCAGCAUUUUGCAUGGGACUUAGUGAUGCCUUGUGAAGAAGACUCCUGCUUCCCCUUCACCUCCACCGUGGUUGUAAAUUUCCUGAGGAUUCCCAAGCUAUGAGGAACUAUGAGUCAAUUAAACCUCUUACCUUUAUAAAUUACCCAGUCUCGGGUAGUAUCUUUAUAGCAGAGUGAGAAUGGACAAAUACAGUACCCCACUAUAUUACCUUCUGUUCUAUUUUCUGUAUCAAAUGUCUAGCCAUUCAUACUUGAAAUCUGGGAAUCACCCUGUAGAUGCCCUUCCUCUGGAGGAUAUUCUCUUUUCCUCACUGUUCCUCAUUUCAUUGGUCAGAAAAUAUUGCCACUAAUUGCUACUAUAUUUUCUCAAUUUCUGUUCAUGCUAUUCCUUCCUCUGCAUUUCAUUAUUGCCUACUCCUCCUUUUGCAUCUUCAUGUGGUUAUAUAUAUUAAAUUCAGUCUGACCUAUUUUGAUAUAAGUAAAUAAAAUCUUAAAAUGCUGUAAAUGACACUUUUAGUUCAUGGUACUUAAAAUUCCUUUAUUAUAUCAUGUUCAUUCAGGUUGUCUUGUCUUUACACAUACUGUUAUUUUUUCCCAGAAUAUUUCAAUUUCUGACAUAUCCUCUGAUCCUUGCUAGCAUCUAUCUUUGGGAAAUUUUACUUGUUCUACAAGACUCACAUAAGCAGCAUUUCCUGCAGAAAAAUCUUCCCAUAUGUCUACCAUUGGAUGUGACUAUAUCAUAGGUUCCUUUUUUAUUCACUUAACAACACAUAUCAUUACUUCAGUAAUAUGUUUACCAUAUUCUGAUCUAUUUAUUUAUUUUAGGUUAGUUUAUAAAAGCAGGCAUUGUGUAACAUGUUGGCGUCCUAAGUUAAAGCACUUGAAAAUAUGUUUAAUAAAUACAUGAAAGAAUGAAAUGCAAAAAAUAAAUAAAA